Molecule: ribosomal RNA, 484 nt
Filed under: uncultured bacterium
Lineage: Bacteria
Description: partial 16S ribosomal RNA
Rfam family: Bacterial small subunit ribosomal RNA
Source: RNAcentral
AUUGAACGCUGGCGGCAGGCCUAACACAUGCAAGUCGAGCGGAUGAAGGGAGCUUGCUCCUGGAUUCAGCGGCGGACGGGUGAGUAAUGCCUAGGAAUCUGCCUGGUAGUGGGGGAUAACGUCCGGAAACGGGCGCUAAUACCGCAUACGUCCUGAGGGAGAAAGUGGGGGAUCUUCGGACCUCACACUAUCAGAUAAGCCUAGGUCGGAUUAGCUAGUUGGUGGGGUAAAGGCCUACCACGGCGACGAUCCGUAACUGGUCUGAGAGGAUGAUCAGUCACACUGGAACUGAGACACGGUCCAGACUCCUACGGGAGGCAGCAGUGGGGAAUAUUGGACAAUGGGCGAAAGCCUGAUCCAGCCAUGCCGCGUGUGUGAUGAAGGUCUUCGGAUUGUAAAGCACUUUAAGUUGGGAGGAAGGGCAGUAAGUUAAUACCUUGCUGUUUUGACGUUACCAACAGAAUAAGCACCGGCUAACUUCGUG